This 120-nucleotide small RNA is filed under the name Arabidopsis thaliana (thale cress). RNAcentral describes it as "ATSL016710". Lineage: Eukaryota; Viridiplantae; Streptophyta; Magnoliopsida; Brassicales; Brassicaceae. The record is from RNAcentral.
AUUGGUAUUUUUGUAUUCCAAAUUUAAUUCUAACUAGAUCAUAACCCGUGCUAUACAGCACGGGCAUUAAUAUUUUGUAUAAAUUAAAUUUUAUAUUUUGUUUGAAUUACAUAAGAAAUA